CUUGUUAUUACAUACUGCACACCUAAAGAAAAAUAUCCCAGCGCUCAAAGCUUGAUACUGCAAGCAUUCCCGAUGAAACCAAGUAUUUUUACAACAAGGACUUCUCAACACACUGUACAGUGGGAGAUGUUCAACCAAAUCCAGGCAUAUUGUACACUGUGAAGGUUCUCUAGAUUCUUUAUCCGAAAAGAUUUGAACUGGCUUAUGUUCCCAACAGUAAGAUCGGAAGUCUUCCAUGAACUGGAAAACACAUUCCUUUUGCAGCCCACAAGGAAAAUGGUAACUUCGCUUACAUUUGGGAGCCACACAUCCAAUUGAAGCACCCUUUUUCCUACAGAUAUUACACAUCAGUCUUGCAGCUCUGUUAACUUCUUUCCUAAUAUCUUCGAUCAAAAAUCCAUCUACACCUUCAUUUUCUUCCCCCCUCUGCCAAAUGCCACUUGACAUCAACAAACAGUAAUUAUGAAGAGUGAGAUUAUAUUCUACGUAGGUCCUUUUUUCUCCAUACUUUUCAGGGCAGUUAUCUGUCCAUCCACAGAGAACACAAGGUGGGCUUUGAAUGUCAAAAUUAUUCUCACUCAUUCUAGUGAAUUCUUCAAGCCCGAGGGCAGCGCGGCCAACGACGAGGUCCAGCGGCGACCCCGCGCUGAAACCGCCCGCUCUAACUGACGGACAAUUCAAACCCCAACAUCCGCCGGCAUUCCGGAAGUCGGGAACCCGCCCCUCGCACCGCCCACCAUCCAUUCCACCGGCUUUCGGCCACCUUCGCUGCGUCGGCGGGAGGAGACUCGAGAUCUCGGCAAUCGGCUGGGACUGUCUCAGGAGGGCUGGCGGCGGAGCCCUGCGCUUCGCCUUCUCUCGGGGGGCGUUCGCGGCCGGCACCGCGGGUGCUUGGCGUCUUUCUCAGUGCGUCCCUGCGUUUGUGGGUCUGGCUGGGGUGAUAGGGGCUGUGGGGUGUUGGGCUUCUGGAGAGGUCUGAGAAUCGCCCUGGUUGUCGGGACCGAGCACCAUUUUAGUGUCACGGAGCUGGUUUGGCUUCUGAGGACUGAGGGAGAAGGGGUACUGCCACCUGAAACCACUCGGCCUGUUCUCAUCACUGAGCUUUAUAUUCGUUUUUUUUUUUUUAAUUUUUAAAUUUUCUUUUCCUGUCCUGGCUAAGUGCAGGAUCGCUACAGACUGUUUACAUUCAGGCCUUGCAGACUCUGUUGGAACAGGCAGUGUUGUCCAGAAAGCCUAUUCUAGAGUAGAUUCACGGAAUCAUGGAAUCGUUUGAGUUGAAUCUCAGUCAUCUAGUCCAACUGCCCUGCAAUGAACAGGGACACCUAUAGCUCCAUCAGGCUGCUCAGAGUCCCCUCCAUCCUGACCCUGAGUGUCUCCAUGGACAGGGCGUCCACCACCUCUGUGAAAGCUGUUCCAGCACCUCACCACCCCUAUUGUAAACAUGUCUGUCUUAUAUCCAGUCUAAAUUUCCUCUCUUUCACUUUGACACCAUUUCCCCUGGGUCCUGUUACAACAGACACUGCUAAAAAGGCUGUCCCUAUUAUUUUUACAUUGUUCAGUCUUACUUAAGGAAGCAGGUUUUGUUUGUUUGUUUUUCCCUGAGAAAUGCACUCUAAGAAGAAAAUACUCUUCAAAUGUAUCCUACUUGUAAAGCUGGAGUGCUGAUCUGUUUUUCCUAUACUUGAUGGGAAGCUCGCAUAGACAUAUUUAUGAUAGUAAAAUUUUUCAAAUAAAGUUUUGUAUUUAAUUUUUACAUAAAUUCUUUGUUGUUUGAAUAUUUCUAUCAUGGAACAGAUGCACGCACUGUUGACCACAGUGAACACAUCAACUGUUAGCACAUAUAGUACAGGAAACAGUGACUUUACAGGCGGUGCAAACAUACACACUGCAGCUGCACACAUGUGACCAAUAGAUGUGGCCUGGUCCUAUUCUUAAACAGUGGCUUAUUAGACUUAAAGCAGCUAGCAGAUGGCCCACCUCAUCCCACCAUCCAAAACAGUCUCCCCAAGUUCAUAUUCUCUCUGGUAACUUACCUGUCAAACCUGGAGUGUUUGCAGUACUUGGCCCUCACCCCUAAGCUCUCCCCACUCGCCAGGUCCCCUAUCCUCUUCACCAGCUUCCCUGGCUUGAAGUUUGCUAGCCACACACACAAAUUAAGAACUUACUCAAGGACAUGGGUAAGGAGUAGAGCUUAAUAAGAGAGACUGAAGCGAUUGGGCAGAGAACUUGGCAAGAUGGCUGCUGACCAGCCACUUCUUUUCACACAGUUGGUCCCUGUUGUCCCACUUCCUCUUAGUUAUCCUCAAUGUACCUACAUCAUACCCUUUCCUUAGCUUUG
RNAcentral lists this long non-coding RNA (2338 nucleotides) under Gallus gallus (chicken). The record is from RNAcentral. Lineage: Eukaryota; Metazoa; Chordata; Aves; Galliformes; Phasianidae.